AGGAUUAACGUUGGCGGCGUGCAUAACACAUGCAAGUUGAGCGUGGCUUUAGUUUACUAAAGUCUAGCAGCGGACGGCUGAGUAAUGCACAGGAACGUACCUUAGAGUGGGGCAUAGCCCAUCGAAAGAUGGGGUAAUACCGCAUACGCUCGCAAGAGUAAAGCCGCAAGGCGCUUUGAGAACGGCCUGUGUCCUAUCAGGUUGUUGGUGAGGUAAUGGCUCACCAAGCCUAUGACGGGUAGCUGGUCUGAGAGGAUGACCAGCCAGAUCGGGACUGAGACACGGCCCGAACUCCUACGGGAGGCAGCAGUUGGGAAUUUUGCGCAAUGGACGAAAGUCUGACGCAGCGACGCCGCGUGAAGGAUGAAGGCUCUAGGGUCGUAAACUUCUUUUGCUAGGGAGUAAUUUGUGAACGUACCUAGCGAAUAAGCACCGGCUAACUCCGUGCCAGCAGCCGC
Molecule: ribosomal RNA, 458 nt
Filed under: uncultured bacterium
Lineage: Bacteria
Description: SSU rRNA
Rfam family: Bacterial small subunit ribosomal RNA
Source: RNAcentral